CAUCAACUGUAUUGACAAGAGGCUUGAUUUAGUUGCCUACACCUAGAAAAUUUAGAGGCAGUAGUGGAUGGACAUACCUCUAUACUGCUAAACUGAUGUGCAAGGGCAGGCUUUGACACAGGACUCGGAUUUGGUCUGUCUGCCUAGGUGUUGGCCCACUCCACAGAUCAGUUUUGGUCUGCUUCCACUAGUCAUCUCCAGAUGAAAUUUGCCUUAAAGGAAACUAGCCCUAAGCAAUGUAGAACACUCUUUCUAAGUUAAAAUUCAUAAUUACAGUUCCUUUCUUCACCAUGCAGCUGUCCAAAUAACCUGUUUUUAUGAGGUUGAAACCAGUACACCAGCUACAGCUACCUCAUAAUGAAGCAGAAUGUGGUUCACAGGUACUAGCUCUGACAAGGACUGGAAAAUCACAGCACAGUGAUAUGAAGACUGCCUUUUGUUUGAGUAACUCUCUUUGAGAAAGUCUUUGAGAGUAAUUGCUAUUUUGUCUAAGUCACUGAACGGCAACCAUAAAAUUCCGUGUCAUUGUGUCUCUUGUAAUGGCCACCCUGACACUUGAUUGAACAAGGAUUGCACCUUUCUCUCUUGAAUUAUUUGAUGCAGAGCCUGUGAUCUAUAAAAAUCUAAAACAAUGUUAUUUUAUACAUUUAAAAAUACUGCACGCCCAGCUUUAAUUUAGUUUUAUUUGGAAUCCAAGAUAAUUAUCCCUGGAAUCAAUCUAUUUUAGAGAAAACAUUUUCAGCUGCAGCUGCAGGCAGAUAUUUCAGCUUCAGACACAAUAGCCAUAGUUAAUUAUCCAGUCAACAAUAAUUCUGUUUAGUCUGAGGAGAAAAAAGCCACCCAGGUUUUCAUUUUCAAGCUUUAAAUCAGCAAAUGCUGGAACUUAAUCAGUCUUUGUCUAAUGAUAAAUUAAGCACUGUAGAAAACAGAUUUCACUCCUGUCUUCUAGGGUGAAAAUUUAAAUUUACAUUUGCCUUAAAAAAAAUCCAAAUUACAUUUUUAGUAGCUACAAGAAAAGUGCAAUGAGAGAAGCUGGGAAAAGUCAUGCAUUACAAAAGAUCACACUUGGCAUGGAAACACCUUGAGAGAUUUUAGCUGGAAAAGCAGACAGAAAAUAACACUAAUCUAUUUAAUCACAAAUGCUUUACAGUUAAAAUGCAAGGCAAACAGUAAAAGAACCCUUUUUCCCUCUAAAGGGAGUUCACUACUAAUUCUGAAAUAUCUAGCA
Vidua macroura (Pin-tailed whydah) is the source of this 1228-nucleotide long non-coding RNA. RefSeq lists it as uncharacterized. The transcript is spliced from 3 exons. The record is from RefSeq and is a predicted model, not a curated record. NCBI's taxonomy places the organism in Eukaryota, Metazoa, Chordata, Aves, Passeriformes, Viduidae.